CUCUGUUAGAUUGGGUCAAAUAGGGUCAGAGCUGAAAAUUUUCCAUUGUGCAGGGACAUAGGUAUGCCACUCUUCAAUGUCCUCCGUGCCUCGAGCGGCACAAAGUUCUAUAGUGUGACUGCCUCGUGUCCAGUUAGGUGAGGGAGCUCUUCACUCUCGGUACCUCAUUUGUCUCUCACCACAUCCUUGUCAGGUGGUGUUAUCUUCCAGCUUUAUUGAUGAGAAAAUGGGCUCAGAGGGCCCGACCUGCUUAAGGUAACACAUCUAUCGAAGGCUUAUGUAGAUUCAAAUCCAUGUCUGUGCUGUUUUACACUGAGCUACAGGGCACUAGGUUCUGGGGGAUGCAGCUAAAUGUAAGACAUAGAGGAGCUUUGUCAUUUGUUUGGGGACACAAGCUAUCUGCCCCUGAAGCAUUUAGGCCGACGCAGUCAUAUGAAACAAAGAGAAACCUGUGUGUUUAAGAGAUGUUGAAGGCCAGUCGUCUACAGGGUGCUGUUAGCUUUGGCUCAGCUGCCUCCUACGAUCAGAAUAGGAUCACACCCCUGAUGUUCCUUUUGCUUUAUAGUGAAAUGAUAUCAUAUUUCCUUUUUGGAGAAGAAAGAUUACUCAGCCUGCAGAUAAUCAUCAAAUGCUCUGGAGGAAGUUCUUUGGAAGGAAGGCAAUUUGGUGUUGCUACGUUCUGCAUAAAAGUGAGUCUCAGUCACAGCCUUUAUUAGACCGUGAGCUCCUUCAGGAUUGAGGCUGGGUCUUCCACGUCUGUACGGCACAGAUCCUGGCCCAGAGAAGCUAUGAGUGAUGAGCCUCUUCUCUGGCGUUUGGGCUGGAAGCCCCUGAUCCAGGCCACCUGCAUCCCUGCAACUCCUCACAGAGCUUCCUCACCUGACUGUUGCCCGGGUAGGCGGCUGGGCACAGCACCAAUUGGAAGUCCUCAAAGCCCGGCAGGAAUCCCGAGUGCAUGGUCAGGCUCAAGGUGACGUUCAGCAAGGUGCGAUGGGUUGUAGAGGAAAAGAGGUGGAGAAGACCCACGUCCUCCUGGUCACAUUCUUCUCCCAGAGGGCCUCGGCCAGCAGCCCGAAGUGGAGGUGGUAACAGUCACAGACGAUGACCGUGGUGGUAGGGCUGGCGGCGAGCACGCUGGCCACGCUGUGGAUGCUGUGGGCCUGGCUGCCGAUCUUGGAGAAGGCCACACAGCUGCCCGCGCGCCUCCCCUCCUUCCGCAGCUGCUGCUGCUCCAGCCACUCCAAGUUGCCACUGUCAGAACCCACCAGGCCCACCCAGGUCCAGUUAAAGUGGCUCAAGAGCUUGGUCAGGACCUGGGGCUGGUGGGCGCUGCUGGGCACCGUGCGGAGGAAGGACGGGAACCGGGACAGUCGGAGAACUGGGGGUGCUGGGAUCUGUGGCUGCCCGUGGGGGAGAAGCGGGGCUGUAUAUUUGCGUGGGGACACCUUACCACCCCUGCCCAGUGUCUGCUGUCCUGGACCCGCCCUCACUGCCCCCCUUCUAUAUGCAAAUAGUUUCUUUUUUUUUUUAACAUACAGAAUGUUGUGCGUGAUUACCAUUUACGACCUGAUGAGUUUGGAGAUAAGUGUACAUCUGUGAAACCAUCAGCACAAUCUACGCCAUGCACCUACUCAUCAGUCCAAAGUUGCUCCCACCCUCUUCUCUAUUAUAUUAGUCUGGUUUUGUGUGAUAAGAGCACUUAGCACACUAUUUACCCUCUUGGCUAAUUUUUAAGAACACAGUACAUAUUGUGAACUCUAGGCAUUAUGCUGUACAGGAGAUCUCUAGAACUCAUUGGGUGUAACUGAAACUUUGUGCCCUUUGACGAAUAUCUCCCUGUUUUCCUUCCUUCCAGGCCUGAACCACUUCUCUAUUAUCUGCUUCUGGGAAUCUAUUUUAAUUCAUCAUAUAAGUAAUAUCAAGUUGUAUUAAUCCUUCUGUGUCUGUCUUUUAUUUUUAAAUAUUAUCUCAGCCUAUCUCAUCAUCUACCUCCAGGUCCUUCCAAAGCCUAUAUGCUCAGGCCUGGGAGGCCAGUUUCCUGGAAGAAGGACAGCAGUGGACUCAAGAAGGCAGAGUAGGAAGCCAGUGGGAGAAACAGAGAAGUAAGGUGUGCUAAGUGAUUUGUGUUUAUGCGUUGUAUAAUUCUUGACAUUGCUUGAGAGGUAAAGGUUCAAGUGAAUUAAAAACUUGAAUAAUCAUGAGAAGCAUAGAAACAAGAUAUAGAACAUCCAAAGCAGUGGAAGAAAAAAAAGGUUAAAAAAAUCAGGAAAUUUCAAGAAAGGACAAAACAAGAAAAAAGCAUAAUAAAUAUGAAUGAAAAAUGAAUGGAAAAAUGAAUGAAAGCAUAGAAACGCUUUCAAACUAAAUAACACAUAAAACAGCUUUCUAUUUGUUAUUUCUAGUAUUAUGUUUUUAAAUUUUUUUGUGGAAAGUUAUGACAAAGCCUAAGAGAUAGAAAGUUCUAUGAGAGGGCCAAAUGGCAUCAAACACGUCGGCAAUUUGAGCAAAUGUAAAAGGUUCAAUGACUCCAGUUAAGAAAAGCAUAAUGUGUGCUCUGUUUGCUGUCUAGACAAACUACAGCCUCCUGCAUCCUCACUACAGAAGUGAUUUAUUUUUAUGCCUUUGUAAGAAUUUCCACAUAAAUAAGAAAUGAGAAAAGCCAUCCUCAGUCAGCUAAGUGUCCUGAUUAUUGACUGACAAGCCAAGGUCACCCUAAACGAAUAGUUCCAUUUGGAACCUUGAGGCUAGGUUGUUCCGCCCCAAGUCCCAACCCUUCGAGAGCCAGAGGGUGCCCUGGUGUUAUGGCUCUCUGGUUCAUGCUUGCCUUCUUGUCCAGAGUAGGAGCACUUCUGAGGACAGAGCCAUGGCAUAUGGUACCUAUAGCAUAGCGUUCUAUGCCAUGAGUGAUGUGCUCAGUAAGAAUUUGGAAACAAUAACCAGUCCCACAAUAGGCAGUAUUUCUGUUUAGGUGAGGUUUCCUCCUUCUUGCUUCUGUACCUUCUUCUCCCUGUGGAGUCUGGUUGCCCAGCUUCGAAUCCCAAACUCCCAUUUAUUAUUUGUGUGAAUUGUGGCAAGUGACAUUUCCUCUUUGAGUCUCAAUUUCAUAAUCUGUAAAAUGGGAAUAAUAAUAUCUACCUCCUAAAGUUGUUGUGAGGAUUACAUGAGAUAAUAAAAAUAAAGGCAAUGAUAUUAAUAAGAGGAAA
Mirounga angustirostris (Northern elephant seal) is the source of this 3203-nucleotide long non-coding RNA. RefSeq lists it as uncharacterized. The record is from RefSeq and is a predicted model, not a curated record. NCBI's taxonomy places the organism in Eukaryota, Metazoa, Chordata, Mammalia, Carnivora, Phocidae. The transcript has 2 exons.